Molecule: ribosomal RNA, 653 nt
Filed under: Salmonella enterica subsp. enterica serovar Newport
Lineage: Bacteria; Pseudomonadati; Pseudomonadota; Gammaproteobacteria; Enterobacterales; Enterobacteriaceae
Description: bacterial LSU rRNA
Rfam family: Bacterial large subunit ribosomal RNA
Source: RNAcentral
GGGUUGUGAGGUUAAGCGACUAAGCGUACACGGUGGAUGCCCUGGCAGUCAGAGGCGAUGAAGGGCGUGCUAAUCUGCGAUAAGCGCCGGUAAGGUGAUAUGAACCGUUAUAACCGGCGAUACCCGAAUGGGGAAACCCAGUGUGAUUCGUCACACUAUCAUUACGUGAAUACAUAGCGUAAUGAAGCGAACCGGGGGAACUGAAACAUCUAAGUACCCCGAGGAAAAGAAAUCAACCGAGAUUCCCCCAGUAGCGGCGAGCGAACGGGGAGGAGCCCAGAGCCUGAAUCAGCAUGUGUGUUAGUGGAAGCGUCUGGAAAGGCGCGCGAUACAGGGUGACAGCCCCGUACACAAAAGCGCAUGUGUUGUGAGCUCGAUGAGUAGGGCGGGACACGUGGUAUCCUGUCUGAAUAUGGGGGGACCAUCCUCCAAGGCUAAAUACUCCUGACUGACCGAUAGUGAACCAGUACCGUGAGGGAAAGGCGAAAAGAACCCCGGCGAGGGGAGUGAAAAAGAACCUGAAACCGUGUACGUACAAGCAGUGGGAGCACCCUUCGGGGUGUGACUGCGUACCUUUUGUAUAAUGGGUCAGCGACUUAUAUUCUGUAGCAAGGUUAACCGAAUAGGGGAGCCGGAGGGAAACCGAGUCUUAA